This 1802-nucleotide long non-coding RNA is filed under the name Schizosaccharomyces pombe (fission yeast). Lineage: Eukaryota; Fungi; Ascomycota; Schizosaccharomycetes; Schizosaccharomycetales; Schizosaccharomycetaceae. The record is from RNAcentral.
UCACCUAAUGGUGACUGUGAUGAAAAAAUAAUAUGAAAAUAAGAGACUGUCUAGUUAUUUUGCUCUUUAUCUUCACGAGACCAAGCUCGCUCUUGUCGAACGCGUUUGAGAUGUCGCAUACUUUCACGAACUCCAAAUCCAUGUUUAAGCAGCUCCCCAAUUUCUUCGAUGGUAUAAUCGGUUAAAUCAGGAUAGCAGAAAAGUGCACCAAGCCAUCCUAAAAAGCAAAGGCCUCCAUAAAGGGCAAACGUUCCUGUGGGUGUUAUUUCACUCAUCAAUGUUAAGAACGAAGCACCUAUACCAAGAUUACCAGCCCAGUUAACAGCAGUAGACAUGCCAGUGCCUAGACCUCUAACGGACAUAGGAAAAAGCUCGGAUUGUUGCCAAGGGAGAUUUCCAAGUCCAGAGGCAUACGACGCAACGUAAACAAUCAUCGAAAUUAAAACAACGAUAGCCCAAGCAUUUGAUUGACCAGAAGUAUAAUUGCCAUUCUCGUCUUUCGGCAAAAAAUGAAAAGCCACCGCGCAUACAAUUAAAGCAGCAAUCAUUCCCCAUACGGUCAACAGGAGCAAGAUUCUUCGACCAAAAAAAUCAAUCACACCAAAGGCAACAAUGGUAAAUACAAAAUUAGUAGCUGCAAUGAUAAGACCAGUAGCAGUAGGAUUGUUAAAGCCAACAACCUCAAAAAUAGUACUAGAAAAAUACAUUAAUGAAUUAAAUCCGGAAAGUUGUUGCAUCGCUUGCAGUCCGCAAGCCAGUAUCAAUGCACGGAAAUUUGAAGGAUUGAAAUAUAAUUCUUUAAAAGUUUUCACAAUCUUUUGCCAUCUAGAUCCUGAAAAAGGAUCACGAACUCCUUCUUGAAUUAAAUAGAGCUUAGUCUUUAUUUCGUAAGGGUGAGCAGUAGGAUAGAUUCGAGCCAGAGUGUUAUAAGCCUCCUGAGAUCUUUCUUUUUUAACUAACAAACGAGGAGAUUCGGGUAGCCAAAUAAGAAUGAAUAAUUGGAAAGCUGCAGGAACCAUUGCUAAACCAACCAUCCAGCGCCAACCAUUAUGGACGUGUUCAAAAGCUGUAUCAAUUCCAUAGGCAAUUACUUGACCAGCUGUAAUUAAUAAAACAUAUAUGAUAACCAACCUUCCGCGUAUUUUAGACGGAGCGAUUUCACUUAGGUACAAAGGAAUAAUAAGUGAUGCAAUGCCAACGCCCCAACCGAUAACAAAGCGACCUACAAUCAUAUGCCAAAGAUGGUGAGCCGUAACCUGUACUAUGGAACCAACUAUGAUGAUGAUACUAGCUAUUGCAAUUACCGGUUUUCUACCAAAAAAGUCGGCAAGGGCACCAGCAAUUAUCCCUCCUAAAAGUGCACCAAGAGAUGUUGCAGAGGUGAUAAAUUCUUUACCACCAUUUGUUAAUUCAUGUCCGCCCAAGCUAGUACCUAUAACUACAAGAGCACCUGAAAUGACACCUGUAUCAUAGCCAAACAGUAGACCACCGAUACCGGCAGCAAAAGCAAGCACCCAAACCCAUUUGCUAACUGGUUGAUCUUCAACAGUGUCGUUAAGUGCGUGUGGCUCAGAUAAAGAAAUGUUAGAAUUGCUGCGACUUCGAGCUCCGUUAGAUAAUCUAGACACGCUGUCCACAGGAAGCACCUGGGUUUUGUUUUCAAAAACCGAGGAUUCAAAUGGACUUUUUUUAUCAGCAGCAAAUGUAUCGGCAGCGAAAGUAUCAUCAGCGAAACCCGCUGACGUUACAUUUUGAAAAUCCUUGGAAGAGAUUGACAUCUUGCUGAAACUUUUGAAUGUAAA